Molecule: ribosomal RNA, 1955 nt
Filed under: human gut metagenome
Description: bacterial LSU rRNA
Rfam family: Bacterial large subunit ribosomal RNA
Source: RNAcentral
UUAAGCAAAGAAGAGCGCAGGGUGGAUGCCUUGGCACUAAGAGCCGAAGAAAGACGUGAUAAGCUGCGAAAAGCUGCGGGGAGAUGCAAAUAAUCCUUGAUCCGCAGAUGUCUGAAUGGGGAAACCCGGUACGAAGAACUCGUAUCAUCCAUACGCCAAUCCAUAACGUAUGGAGGGGAACCCGGUGAACUGAAACAUCUAAGUAGCCGGAGGAAGAGAAAGAAACAUCGAUUUUGUUAGUAGCGGCGAGCGAAAGCGAAAGAGGCCAAACCGGAGUGCGUGCACUCCGGGGUUCGGACCGCAUUUAAGAUUCAGUGAUUCUAGCAGAAAGGUUUGGGAAAGCCUGCCGGAGAGGGUGAAAGCCCCGUAAGCGAAAGGAGAACUGACUGAGCGGGAUCCAGAGUACAUCGAGACACGAGAAACCUUGAUGGAAUGAGCGGGGACCACCCCGUAAGCCUAAAUACUACUUAGUGACCGAUAGCGCAUAGUACUGUGAAGGAAAGGUGAAAAGGACCCCGGGAGGGGAGUGAAAGAGAACCUGAAACCCUGUGUUUACAAGCUGUGGAAGUUCUUUAAAUGAACAACCGCGUACUUUUUGUAGAACGGUCCGGCGAGUUGCGGAUACUGGCAAGGUUAAGCACUUAAGGUGCGGAGCCGAAGGGAUACCAAGUCUUAACAGGGCGUUAAGUCAGUAUACGCAGACCCGAAACCGGGUGAUCUAUCCAUGUCCAGGUUGAAGUUGUCGUAAAAGACAAUGGAGGACCGAAGCCACAUCCGUUGAAAAGGGUGGGCAUGAGGUGUGGAUAGGGGAGAAAUUCCAAUCGAACCCGGAGAUAGCUGGUUCUCCUCGAAAUAGCUUUAGGGCUAGCCUCGAUUUAGUCUUAUGGAGGUAGAGCACUGAAUUUCCGCGGGGGCGUCAAAGCUUACCAAAGAAUAUCAAACUCCGAAUGCCAUGUAGAUGAUGAACGGGAGUCAGACUGCACGAGAUAAGUUGGGCAGUCAAAAGGGAAAGAGCCCAGACCGCCAGCCAAGGUCCCAAAGUGUGUGUUAAGUGGAAAAGGAUGUGGGAUCUCCAAGACAACUAGGAUGUUGGCUCAGAAGCAGCCACACAUUCAAAGAGUGCGUAACAGCUCACUAGUCGAGAGGUCCUGCGCCGAAAAUGUCCGGGGCUGAAACACAACACCGAAGCUGCGGAAUUGCGAAUGCAAUUGGUAGAGGAGCAUUCUUAAUACCGACGAAGCUGUACCGGAAGGAGCAGUGGAGGGAUAAGAAGAGAGAAUGCCGGAAUGAGUAGCGAGAGAGAGGUGGGAAUCCUCUCGGCCGAAUAUCCAAGGUUUCCAGAGUAAAGCUGAUCUGCUCUGGGUAAGUCGGGGCCUAAGGCGAGGUCAAGAGACGUAGCCGAUGGACAACAGGUUUAGAUUCCUGUACCGCAUAUAAACAGAACUGUGGGGACGCAUGGGGAGAGCAUGGGCCGGGAAUGGAAAUACCGGUGCAAGCGAAGGAGGUGUGCAGCCGGCAAAUCCGCUGCAUGAGCCGAAAGCGUGACGCGGAGCGAAAUGAAAGUAGCGAAGCAUGUGAGCCCUGUGCCGAGAAAAGCCGCUAUAGCUUUAUAUGUGCCCGUACCGUAAACCGACACAGGUGGAUGAGGAGAGAAUCCUAAGGCCGGCGGAAGAAGUAUUGUUAAGGAACUCGGCAAAAUGACCCCGUAACUUCGGGAGAAGGGGUGCCCAUGAAAGUGGGCCGCAGAGAAUAGGCUCAAGCAACUGUUUAGCAAAAACACAGGUCUAUGCGAAACCGAAAGGUGAAGUAUAUGGGCUGACGCCUGCCCGGUGCUGGAAGGUUAAGAGGAGAGGUUAGCGCAAGCGAAGCUUUGAAUUUAAGCCCCAGUAAACGGCGGCCGUAACUAUAACGGUCCUAAGGUAGCGAAAUUCCUUGUCGGGUAAGUUCCGACCCGC